ACUCUAAUAGUUUAACAAAAACAUUGGU
This 28-nucleotide transfer RNA is filed under the name Rhipidura rufifrons (rufous fantail). RNAcentral describes it as "partial tRNA-Thr". The record is from RNAcentral. Lineage: Eukaryota; Metazoa; Chordata; Aves; Passeriformes; Rhipiduridae.